UUGCACGCUGGCGGCAGGCCUCACCCCUGCCAGUCGAGCGGAUGAAGGGAGCUUGCUCCUGGAUUCAGCGGCGGACGGGUGAGUAAUGCCUAGGAAUCUGCCUGGUAGUGGGGGAUAACGUCCGGAAACGGGCGCUAAUACCGCAUACGUCCUGAGGGAGAAAGUGGGGGAUCUUCGGACCUCACGCUAUCAGAUGAGCCUAGGUCGGAUUAGCUAGUUGGUGGGGUAAAGGCCUACCAAGGCGACGAUCCGUAACUGGUCUGAGAGGAUGAUCAGUCACACUGGAACUGAGACACGGUCCAGACUCCUACGGGAGGCAGCAGUGGGGAAUAUUGGACAAUGGGCGAAAGCCUGAUCCAGCCAUGCCGCGUGUGUGAAGAAGGUCUUCGGAUUGUAAAGCACUUUAAGUUGGGAGGAAGGGCAGUAAGUUAAUACCUUGCUGUUUUGACGUUACCAACAGAAUAAGCACCGGCUAACUUCGUG
This 483-nucleotide ribosomal RNA is filed under the name uncultured bacterium. RNAcentral describes it as "partial 16S ribosomal RNA". It matches the Rfam family "Bacterial small subunit ribosomal RNA", at positions 30 to 507 of the family's 1533-position model. The record is from RNAcentral.